ACUACGGGAGGCAGCAGUGGGGAAUUUUGCGCAAUGCUCGUAAGAGUGACGCAGCGACGCCGCGUGAAUGACGAAGGCCUUCUGGUCGUAAAGUUCUUUCGACAGGGAAGAAAAUGCCUAUAAGUAACUGUGUAUGUAUUGACGGUACCUGUAUAAGCAGCCCCGGCUAACUCCGUGCCCGCGGCCGCGGUAAUACGGAGGGGGUGAGCGUUGUUUGGAGUGGCUGGGCGUAAAGAGCACGUAGGCGGUGUUGUAAGGCAUUAGUCAAAGACUAGAGCUCAACUUUAGUAAGGCUAGUGAUACUAUAAUACGAGAGUAUCAGAGAGGAGUGCAGAAUGCCUGGUGUAGCGGUGAAAUGCGUAGAUAUCAGGAGGAAUACCGUUAGCGAAGGCGGCAAUCUGGCUGGAAACUGACGCUGAGGUGCGAAAGCGUGGGUAGCAAACAGGAUUAGAUACCCCAGUAGUC
RNAcentral lists this ribosomal RNA (465 nucleotides) under uncultured bacterium. Its description in RNAcentral is "partial 16S ribosomal RNA". It matches the Rfam family "Bacterial small subunit ribosomal RNA", at positions 338 to 795 of the family's 1533-position model. The record is from RNAcentral.